CAAGAGAGUUAGCAAUAACUCAUAACCCUUUGUGAACAUACCUUCUUGUCAGUUGCUUCGGCGGGAGGCUUCCCCGGAAGGGGGGCCGACCGCCGGAGGGACGCACCCCAAACUCUUGCUGUACCACAGUGGCACAUCCGAGUCAAAACAAACAAACAAAUCA
Molecule: unclassified non-coding RNA, 163 nt
Filed under: uncultured Ascomycota
Lineage: Eukaryota; Fungi; Ascomycota
Description: sequence contains ITS1
Source: RNAcentral